Molecule: ribosomal RNA, 466 nt
Filed under: uncultured bacterium
Lineage: Bacteria
Description: partial 16S ribosomal RNA
Rfam family: Bacterial small subunit ribosomal RNA
Source: RNAcentral
GACGAACGCUGGCGGCGUGCUUAACACAUGCAAGUCGAACGGAAAGGCCCAGCUUGCUGGGUGCUCUAGUGUGGAAAGGGUGAGUAAAACGCGUGAGAUCUGCGCUCAAGUUUUUGGUAAGCCUAGAAAACUGGGGCGAUUAUCGGGGAUAGUCAACUGUCGCGCGGGGGGGGGGGUAGAGCGUUUGCGGUUGGGGGUGGGCACGCGGCUUAUCAGCUUGUUGGUGGGGUAGUGGCUUACCAAGGCGUUGACGGGUAGCCGCCCUGAGAGGGUGACCGGCCACAUUGGGACUGAGAUACGGCCCAGACUCCUACGGGAGGCAGCAGUGGGGAAUAUUGCACAAUGGGCGGAAGCCUGAUGCAGCAACGCCGCGUGCGGGAUGACGGCCUUCGGGUUGUAAACCGCUUUCGCCUGUGACGAAGCGUGAGUGACGGUAAUGGGUAAAGAAGCACCGGCUAACUACGUG